GGGCCCGCACAAGCGGUGGAGCAUGUGGUUUAAUUCGAUGAUACGCGAGGAACCUUACCAGGGCUUAAAUGUAGUGGGACAGGUCUAGAGAUAGACCCUUCUUCGGACUCAUUACAAGGUGCUGCAUGGUUGUCGUCAGCUCGUGCCGUGAGGUGUCAGGUUAAGUCCUAUAACGAGCGCAACCCCUAUCGUUAGUUGCCAGCGGGUAAUGCCGGGAACUCUAGCGAAACUGCCGGUGCAAACCGUGAGGAAGGUGGGGAUGACGUCAAAUCAUCACGGCCCUUACGUCCUGGGCUACACACGUGCUACAAUGGUCGGUACAGAGAGCAGCCACUACGCGAGUAGGAGCGAAUCUUCAAAACCGGUCUCAGUUCGGAUCGCAGUCUGCAACUCGACUGCGUGAAGCUGGAAUCGCUAGUAA
Molecule: ribosomal RNA, 421 nt
Filed under: uncultured bacterium
Lineage: Bacteria
Description: bacterial SSU rRNA
Rfam family: Bacterial small subunit ribosomal RNA
Source: RNAcentral